This 460-nucleotide ribosomal RNA is filed under the name uncultured bacterium. Its description in RNAcentral is "partial 16S ribosomal RNA". It matches the Rfam family "Bacterial small subunit ribosomal RNA", at positions 338 to 795 of the family's 1533-position model. The record is from RNAcentral.
CCUACGGGGGGCUGCAGUGAGGAAUAUUGGUCAAUGGCCGCAAGCCUGAACCAGCCAUGUCGCGUGAAGGUCAGUGCCCCAUGGGCGUUAAACUUCUUUUGUGCGGGAGCAAUAAUGGUCACGUGUGGCCAGACGAGAGUACCGUACGAAUAAGCAUCGGCUAACGCCGUGCCAGCAGCCGCGGUAAUACGGGGGAUGCAAGCGUUAUCCGGAUUUUUUGGGUUUAAAGGGUGCGUAGGCUGUGAGGUAAGUCAGCGGUGAAAUGCCCCCGCUCAACGGGGUGAAGUGCCAUUGAUACUGCCGUGCUGGAAUGCGGAUGCAGUGGGAGGAAUGUGUGGUGUAGCGGUGAAAUGCAUAGAUAUCACACAGAACACCGAUUGCGAAGGCAUCUCACGAAUCCGCGAUUGACGCUGAUGCACGAAAGCGUGGGUAUCAAACAGGAUUAGAUACCCUAGUAGUC